RNAcentral lists this ribosomal RNA (253 nucleotides) under uncultured bacterium. Its description in RNAcentral is "partial 16S ribosomal RNA". It matches the Rfam family "Bacterial small subunit ribosomal RNA", at positions 524 to 776 of the family's 1533-position model. The record is from RNAcentral.
UACGAAGGGAGCUAGCGUUGUUCGGAAUUACUGGGCGUAAAGGGCGCGUAGGCGGUUUAGUAAGUCAGAUGUGAAAGCCCCGGGCUUAACCUGGGAACAGCAUUUGAUACUGCUAGACUAGAGAUCGAAAGAGGAGAGUGGAAUUGCGAGUGUAGAGGUGAAAUUCGUAGAUAUUCGCAGGAACACCAGUGGCGAAGGCGACUCUCUGGUUCGAUACUGACGCUAAGGCGCGACAGCGUGGGGAGCAUACAGG